GCCAGGCAUGGUGGUGUGUGCCCGUAAUCCCAUCAGCUCUGGAGGCUGUGACAGGAGGAUCGUGAGUUUAAAGCCAGCCUCAGCAAAAUCGAGGAGCUAAGCAAUUCAGUGAGACCCUGUCUCUA
RNAcentral lists this small RNA (125 nucleotides) under Marmota monax (woodchuck). Lineage: Eukaryota; Metazoa; Chordata; Mammalia; Rodentia; Sciuridae. The record is from RNAcentral.